This is a ribosomal RNA of Indibacter alkaliphilus LW1, 2893 nucleotides long. It matches the Rfam family "Bacterial large subunit ribosomal RNA". The record is from Rfam. NCBI's taxonomy places the organism in Bacteria, Pseudomonadati, Bacteroidota, Cytophagia, Cytophagales, Cyclobacteriaceae.
GAGUAAGUGAAUAAGGGCGUACGGGGGAUGCCUAGGCUCCCAGAGGCGAAGAAGGACGUGCCAAGCUGCGAUAAGCCACGGGGACCCGCAAGUGGGGCUGAUCCGUGGAUUUCCGAAUGGGGCAACCCAUCCCGCACAAGCGGGAUACCCCGGUCAAUCCGGGGGGCGAACCUGCCGAACUGAAACAUCUAAGUAGGCAGAGGAGGAGAAAACAAGAGUGAUUCCGUGAGUAGUGGCGAGCGAAAGCGGAACAGCCCAAACCGUGUAUGUUACGGCAUAUACGGGGUAAUAGGACCUGCGCAAGACAUAAUUAUGUGACCUGAGCGUACUGGGAAGUACGGCCGUAGAGGGUGAGAGCCCCGUAAGGGAAGUGUGUUUAUGUUGGCGGGUAUCCUGAGUAGGCCGGGACAGGAGAAAUCCCGGUUGAAUUAUCCGGCACCAUCCGGAAAGGCUAAAUACUCCUGGGAGACCGAUAGUGAACAAGUACCGUGAGGGAAAGGUGAAAAGUACUCCGAAUAGGAGGGUGAAACAGAACCUGAAACCGUGCGCUUACAAGCGGUCGGAGUCCCGUACAUACGGGAUGACGGCGUGCCUUUUGCAUAAUGAGCCUACGAGUUACGCCUCACUGGCGAGGUUAAGUGUUUUAAAGCACGCAGCCGGAGCGAAAGCGAGUCUGAACAGGGCGUUGAGUCAGUGGGGGUAGACGCGAAACUUUGUGAUCUACCCAUGGACAGGUUGAAGUUGCGGUAACACGCAAUGGAGGACCGAACCGAUAAACGUUGAAAAGUUUCCGGAUGAUCUGUGGGUAGGGGUGAAAGGCCAAUCAAACUGAGAAAUAGCUCGUACUCCCCGAAAUGUUUUUAGGAACAGCGUCGUGGAAUGUAUGAAGGAGGUAGAGCUACCGAUAGGACUAGGGGGAGUCACAUCCUACCAAAUCCUGACGAACUCCGAAUGCCUUUAUACAGUAACGGCAGUGAGGGCUCGGGUGCUAAGGUCCGAGUCCGAGAGGGAAAGAACCCGGACCUACCGCUAAGGUCCCGAAAUUUACACUAAGUUGAACAAAGGUGGUCCAGCUGCAGAGACAGCCAGGAGGUUAGCUUGGAAGCAGCUAUUCCUUUAAAGAGUGCGUAACAGCUCACUGGUCGAGCGGCAGGGCGUCGAUAAUAAUCGGGCAUCAAGUGUAAUACCGAAGCGUAGGAUUUCUCCCGUAGAUACGGGAGGAGUGGUAGGGGAGCAUUCCAACGGCGGCGAAGGUGCAUGGCGAUGUGCGCUGGAGUUUUUGGAAAAGCAAAUGUAGGCAUAAGUAACGAUAAUGCGGGCGAGAAACCCGCACACCGAUAGACCAAGGUUUCCUGAUCAACGCUAAUCGGAUCAGGGUCAGUCGGGACCUAAGGAUAACCCGAAGGGGGAUUCCGAUGGAAAAUGGGUUAAUAUUCCCAUACCUGUCAUACAGGUGACGGAGUGACGGAGUGAUGAAAGGACCGCGCGGUGACGGAAUACCGCGUUGAAGGGUGUAGGUAUUGUUUCCAUAGUUAAAUGCGUGGGGAUAGCCGAACCUGAUAGUACCGCAAUCUUUCGGGAGCGCGGAUAGAGUCCCUAAUAGCUUCCAAGAAAAACUUCUGGCGAUAAGCGUAUGACGGCCCGUACCGCAAACCGACACAGGUGGUCAAGGAGAGAAUCCUGAGGUGCUCGAGUGAAUCAUGGCUAAGGAACUCGGCAAAAUGGCCCUGUAACUUCGGGAGAAGGGGCGCCCUCUGUAAUGGGGGGCCGCAGUGAAAAGGCCCAGGCGACUGUUUAGCAAAAACACAUGGCUUUGCGAACCCGGGAGGGGAAGUAUAAGGCCUGACACCUGCCCGGUGCCGGAAGGUUAAGAGGGGAUGUUAUCGUAAGAGAAGCAUUGAAUUGAAGCCCCGGUAAACGGCGGCCGUAACUAUAACGGUCCUAAGGUAGCGAAAUUCCUUGUCGGGUAAGUUCCGACCUGCACGAAUGGUGUAACGAUCUGGGCGCUGUCUCAGCCAUGAGCUCGGUGAAAUUGUAGUCGCGGUGAAGAUGCCGCGUACCCGCAACGGGACGGAAAGACCCCAUGAACCUUUACUGCAGCUUGGCAUUGGUAUCGGGUAAACGAUGUGUAGGAUAGGCGGGAGACUGCGAAUCUGUGUCGCCAGGCAUGGAGGAGUCGCUGUUGAAAUACCGCCCUUUGUUUGCCUGGUAUCUAAUCCCGCAAUGCGGGAGACAUUGCCUGGUGGGUAGUUUGACUGGGGUGGUCGCCUCCAAAAGGAUAACGGAGGCUUCCAAAGGUUCCCUCAGCACGCUUGGUAACCGUGCGCGGAGUGCAAUAGCAUAAGGGAGCUUGACUGUAAGGCCGACAAGCCGAGCAGGGUGGAAACACGGGUAUAGUGAUCCGGCGGUACUGCAUGGAAAGGCCGUCGCUCAAAGGAUAAAAGGUACUCUGGGGAUAACAGGCUGAUCUCCCCCAAGAGCUCAUAUCGACGGGGAGGUUUGGCACCUCGAUGUCGGCUCGUCACAUCCUGGGGCUGGAGAAGGUCCCAAGGGUUGGGCUGUUCGCCCAUUAAAGUGGCACGCGAGCUGGGUUCAGAACGUCGUGAGACAGUUCGGUCCCUAUCUGUUGCGGGCGUGGGAAGUUUGAGGAGCUCUGACCUUAGUACGAGAGGACCGGGUUGGACCGACCGCUGGUGUACCGGUUGUGGUGCCAACUGCACUGCCGGGUAGCUACGUCGGGCAGGGAUAAGCGCUGAAAGCAUCUAAGUGCGAAACCCCCUCCGAGAUGAGACUUCCAUAUAGGGCCGUCAGAGACGAUGACGUUGAUAGGCUGCAGGUGUAAAGUCAGUAAUGACAAAGCCGAGCAGUACUAAUAGCCCGAAAGCUUACCGGU